RNAcentral lists this ribosomal RNA (292 nucleotides) under uncultured bacterium. RNAcentral's name for it is "partial 16S ribosomal RNA". It matches the Rfam family "Bacterial small subunit ribosomal RNA", at positions 505 to 796 of the family's 1533-position model. The record is from RNAcentral.
GUGUCAGCCGCCGCGGUAAUACGGAGGGGGCGAGCGUUAUUCGGAAUUAUUGGGCGUAAAGGGCGCGUAGGCGGCUUGGUAAGUCAAAGGUGAAAUCCCUCGGCUCAACCGAGGAAUUGCCUUUGAAACUGCCUGGCUUGAGGCCGGGAGGGGGUAGCGGAAUUCCCAGUGUAGCGGUGAAAUGCGUAGAUACUGGGAGGAACACCGGUGGCGAAGGCGGCUACCUGGACCGGUUCUGACGCUGAUGCGCGAAAGCGUGGGGAGCAAACAGGAUUAGAAACCCGCGUAGUCC